This 72-nucleotide transfer RNA is filed under the name Camelus ferus (Wild Bactrian camel). It matches the Rfam family "tRNA". Rfam says of the family: Transfer RNA (tRNA) molecules are approximately 80 nucleotides in length. Their secondary structure includes four short double-helical elements and three loops (D, anti-codon, and T loops). The record is from Rfam by way of RNAcentral. Lineage: Eukaryota; Metazoa; Chordata; Mammalia; Artiodactyla; Camelidae.
AGGGGUAUAGCUCAUUGGUAGAGCACAUGCUUAGCGUGCAUGAGGUCCUGGGUUCAAUCCCCAGUACUUCCA